This 406-nucleotide ribosomal RNA is filed under the name uncultured bacterium. Its description in RNAcentral is "partial 16S ribosomal RNA". It matches the Rfam family "Bacterial small subunit ribosomal RNA", at positions 30 to 526 of the family's 1533-position model. The record is from RNAcentral.
AUUGAACGCUGGCGGCAGGCCUAACACAUGCAAGUCGAACGAGUGGCGGACGGGUGAGUAAUGUCUGGGAAACUGCCCGAUGGAGGGGGAUAACUACUGGAAACGGUAGCUAAUACCGCAUCCCAGUGGAUGUGCCCAGUUGGGAUUAGCUGGUAGGUGGGGUAACGUCUCACCUAGGCGACGAUCACUAGCUGGUCUGAGAGGAUGACCAGCCACACUGGAACUGAGACACGGUCCAGACUCCUAAGGGAGGCAGCAGUGGGGAAUAUUGCACAAUGGGCGCAAGCCUGAUGCAGCCAUGCCGCGUGUAUGAAGAAGGCCUUCGGGUUGUAAAGUACUUUCAGCGAGGAGGCGUUACUCGCAGAAGAAGCACCGGCUAACUCCGUGCCAGCCGCCGCGGUAAUUC